Molecule: ribosomal RNA, 442 nt
Filed under: uncultured Bacillota bacterium
Lineage: Bacteria; Bacillati; Bacillota
Description: bacterial SSU rRNA
Rfam family: Bacterial small subunit ribosomal RNA
Source: RNAcentral
CCUACGGGAGGCAGCAGUGGGGAAUAUUGGGCAAUGGGGGAAACCCUGACCCAGCAACGCCGCGUGAGGGAAGAAGGUUUUCGGAUUGUAAACCUCUGUUCUUGGGGAAGAGAAGAAGACGGUAACCAAGGAGGAAGCCCCGGCUAACUACGUGCCAGCAGCCGCGGUAAUACGUAGGGGGCGAGCGUUGUCCGGAAUGAUUGGGCGUAAAGGGUGCGUAGGCGGCGAUGCAAGUCAGAAGUGGAAGUCCUGCUUUCAAGGUAGGAAUUGCUUUUGAAACUGCAUGGCUUGAGUGCAGGAGAGGUUAUCGGAAUUCCCGGUGUAGCGGUGAAAUGCGUAGAGAUCGGGAGGAACACCAGUGGCGAAGGCGGGUAACUGGACUGCAACUGACGCUGAGGCACGAAAGUGUGGGGAGCAAACAGGCUUAGAUACCCCUGUAGUC